RNAcentral lists this long non-coding RNA (1047 nucleotides) under Physcomitrium patens. Its description in RNAcentral is "long non-coding RNA (PPAT_LNC013718)". The record is from RNAcentral. Lineage: Eukaryota; Viridiplantae; Streptophyta; Bryopsida; Funariales; Funariaceae.
UAACUCUAAUAGUUUCUUAAAUAAAUUAUAAUUAAAGAUUAGCGAAUAUAAUCAAACAUCAAUCAAAUUAAAUUAAAAUUUCAAAGGAAUUAUACAAGAAAUUCAAAGAAUUUCUAGAGACCUUUUAAAAAAAUCAUAAAAGAAUAAUAUAGAAAUUCAAAAAAUAUAUAUUAAAAUAGAAAUAUUAAUAAAAUAUUAAAAUAAAAAUCUUAAUUAAAUCCCAUUCAAAAUCUAGACAAAUCUUAAUCAAACCUUAGUCAAACCUUGAUAAAAUCCUUAUCAAACCCUCAUCAAUCCUUAAAUAAGUCCUAACCAAAUUCUAGACAAAUCCUAAUCAAAUUCUAGUCAAACCUUAAUCAAUCCUUAAAAAAUCCUAAAAAAAUCUUAAAUAAAUUCUAGUCAAAUCCUAGACAAACCCUAAAUAAGUUCUAAUCAAAUCUUAGUCAAAUUCUAGUCAAAUCCUAAUCAAAUCCUAAUCAAAUCUUAAAUAAGUUUUAACCAAAUCUUAAACAAAUCCUAGUCAAACUCUAGUUAAACCCUAAUCAAAUCCUAAUAAAACUUUAAUCAAAUCUUAGAAAAACCCUAAAUAAGUCCUAACCAAAUCUUAGACAAAUCCUAGUCAAACUCUAAUAAAAUCUUAAUAAAAUCCUCAUCAAACCCUAAACAAAUCCUAACCAAAUCCUAAAUAAAUCUUAAUCAAAUCCUAAAAAAAUCCUAAAUAAGUCCUGACCAAAUCCUAAACAAAUCCAAGUCAAAUUCUAAAAAAAUCCUAAUCAAAUCCUAAUCCUAAUUAAACCUUAAAUCAACUCAAAACCCUAAUCCUAACUCUAAAUCAAAUCUUAAUCAAUUCCAAGUAAUUCCUAUAGCAGAUUUGAACCUCAAUAAUUAAUGAAUGAACCAUUGAUUUUAACUCAAAUUUUGCACAUUUUUUAAUAAUUAAGUUGAAAAAAAAUGAAAAAAAAAAACUAAAAAGAAUCGAAAUUAUAAAAUAGAUAAUAAUCUCAAAAAUGUACUCGGAUGUCAAUCAGCCUCCUUCUCCAAUCUUAU